AUUGAACGCUAGCGGGAUGCUUUACACAUGCAAGUCGAACGGCAGCGCGGACUUCGGUCUGGCGGCGAGUGGCGAACGGGUGAGUAAUGUAUCGGAACGUGCCCAGUAGCGGGGGAUAACUACGCGAAAGCGUAGCUAAUACCGCAUACGCCCUACGGGGGAAAGCAGGGGAUCGUAAGACCUUGCACUAUUGGAGCGGCCGAUAUCGGAUUAGCUAGUUGGUGAGGUAACGGCUCACCAAGGCGACGAUCCGUAGCUCGUUUGAGAGGACGACCAGCCACACUGGGACUGAGACACGGCCCAGACUCCUACGGGAGGCAGCAGUGGGGAAUUUUGGACAAUGGGGGCAACCCUGAUCCAGCCAUCCCGCGUGUGCGAUGAAGGCCUUCGGGUUGUAAAGCACUUUUGGCAGGAAAGAAACGUCGCGGGCUAAUACCCCGUGGAACUGACGGUACCUGCAGAAUAAGCACCGGCUAACUACGUG
Molecule: ribosomal RNA, 484 nt
Filed under: uncultured bacterium
Lineage: Bacteria
Description: partial 16S ribosomal RNA
Rfam family: Bacterial small subunit ribosomal RNA
Source: RNAcentral